This 267-nucleotide ribosomal RNA is filed under the name Triticum aestivum (bread wheat). RNAcentral's name for it is "partial small subunit ribosomal RNA". The record is from RNAcentral. Lineage: Eukaryota; Viridiplantae; Streptophyta; Magnoliopsida; Poales; Poaceae.
AUGGAGAGGUUUCUGACUGCGCUUGUCUUCUGCGAGGCGCCCCUCGAUGGCUACAGCACAUCCGUGAUGAUAUCCUCCAGGGCAAUCAAGCCACUGGUGUUUGCUUGCUCAAUAAAGCUGGCGGCUCCUGCGCCCAAGGCUGAUGAUGCGUACCCCGGGAAGAAGCCUGGAUUCUACGGCGAGACCACGACGCACCGACGUGCUGGGUAUGAGCUUGCGUUCGAUGGUCUCAACUGCUUCGAUACCGUCGUCAUGCACCAACAAUGA